AAAAAACAAAGAUAGAAAAGAAACAGAAUGAAACGAAACAGAGAGCAAGGAAGGAAAGAAAAGAAAGAAAGGGAGAAAAGGGAAAUUUUGAGAUUUCAAGGUUUGAAAGUUUAAUUGGUAAGUCAAUUUAGCCCUUUUUACUUAAUUUUGAUUUUUAGAAGCUUUAGAACAAGAUUUUGAUGAAAUUAAGUUGAUAUUUUGAAAGUUAUUAGAUUUCUAGAUAAUGUUCAUGUGAGUAAAAUGAUGAAUUAAGGGCUAAAUUGAUAGAAAUUCAAGUUAGAAAUGAAAUAAGGGUUGAAUUGUAAAGUAAUUCAUAAGUUUUAUGCUUUAAGGACUAAAUUGAAAGAAUUUUGAAAUUAUGGUUUUAUGAUGAAAAAUAGAUAAUUAUGUCUAAGUUUGGUUAAAAAUUGAGUAGAAAUAAAGUAUGAAUUAAGAUAGAAAAGUAAGUGAAUUUAGUUAGGAUUAAAUUGAAAUUAAAAGUAGAAAAUCAACAUUUUGCACUAAGACUAUUUUGGACAGCAGCAGUAGUCUAAGUUUGAAAAAUCACCAAAAAUUGUAUAAAUUAAAUUAGAGGAUGAAUAAAAUAUGGAAUUAAAGCAUAUUGAGUCUAGUUUCUUAUAGAAGAAACGAUAUAAGCAAUUGAAUUGUAAAUUAUGAGAUAUAAUGAAUUUUGUGAGACAAGAUCAGAAUGAAUUCGGGUUCCUCUGUUCUGACUUUGGAAAAUCACCAAAAAAUUGGAGAAAAAUAAUUAGAGGCUUAAAGUUAUAUGUUUAGAAUCCCUAAUGAAUCUAUUUUCAGGAGAAAUCAACGAGAAUAUUAUCCGAGUUCUGUACUGUGAGAUAAUUAAUUUUUAGUGAAGAAGGGUCGAAACUGUCAGACAGCAGAAUAGGGGUGAAUUUAAAGAAUAAACUGUACUUAAUGACUAAACCAAAAAUUUUGAAAAUUUUAUGGUAAGAAGAUUUGUGAGUCUAGUUUCAGGAAAAAUUAGCAGAUCUUAAUUUAGAAUUCUGUAAGUCAAGAUAUAAAUUAGUAAUGUAUUAAUGAUUAUGAAUUGUAUUAAUUUCGUAGUCAAUGUGGUAUCGAAAAUCUCGGCUAAGAAAGGACAAGACAAAGUCAACGAGAGUUAGCUCGAAAAUUACGAUUUGUAUUUCUAUAACCCGAACUUAAUAUUUAAUUAUUGAAUUUAUUAUUUAUUAUGUAUGGUAGGUGCAUUGAUUAAAUUAUUUGAAAUAAAAUGAAUAUUGAUUGAAAUUGAAGGGUGAAUUUAAUUAAUAAUUGUUGUAUUUUAAUUGAAUGUUAUGGUAAAUAAUUAAAGUAUGAAUUAUUGGUAUUGUGUUUUUAUUGAAAUGAUUUGAUUUGAAAAUGUGGUGAAAUAAUUAUGAACAUGUGUUUAUUGUGAAAUUGAAUAUUUAUUAGUGAAAAGUGAAUGGAAUUAUAUUGAAUUAAAAAAAAUAUAAUUAAUUAAUUAAAAUAUGAAUUAAUUGAAAACUGAAAAGUGAAUUAAAUACCCUAUUGACUAGUCGGGCUAGUCGGAUAUAGUUGGCAUACCAUAGGAUAUGAAAGAGUACGGGUUUUAGCCGACUUACUGAUCAGACACUUAUGUGCCGACUACUGUUACUGUUACCGUUACUGUUACCGAUUCGGCACUUUGUGUGUCGGAUAUUGUUACUGUUACCGUUACUGUUAUUGUUUCGGAUUUGUUCCGAUGAGGUACUCUGUGUACCGUACUGUUACUGUUCCGGAUUUGUUCAGAUGAGGUACUCUGUGUACCGUAUUGCUACUGUUACUGUUACUGUUUCGACUUCGGCCGAUGAGCCACUAUGUGCCGUACUGGUAUGCUGGUUGGAUCCGUGUAUCCGUCUGAGUCCGAGUCAUGUUAAUAGGGGUAAAUAAAGGAACUGGAAAGAUCACUGUUAUUGAAUAAUUUAAUUGUUACUGAAUAACUGAUUAUUAUUGAAUAAUUGAUUGUUACCGAAUAAUUGAUUGUUACCGAAUAACUUACUGUUACUGAAAAAAUAAUCGUUCUGAUUAAUUGGUUGUUAAUGAAUAUUACUGAUUGAUUAAUUGCUAUUGAAAAAUAAUAAAUGAUUUUGAAUUUAUAGUAGAACAAAAUAUUGGUUGGAAAGUGAAUGUUUGAAUACUCAUUGAGUUUGAAUAGUUCAAUAUAUAAAAAUUAAUAUGUUUUAUAAUUGUUUAAGUGUUCGGAUUAUAGAAAUACCACUGAGUGUAUACUCAGCAUACGGUUUGUUUCCGUGCGCAGGUUAAGGUUAGACCGUUGAAUCAGCAUCCCAGGCCGAUCCCGAAUUCAAUGAGGUAAAGUAUGUUGAGUAUUGGUAAUGGCAUGUACCUAGGAUGUCUUAUGAGAGUCAUUUAGGUUGUGAAAGUAUUGAUAAAAUAAGUAAAUUAUGGUUGGCAAUGGUAUAUAGUAUGAAUUUGAAAUUUGAAAGAAAAAUUCGUAGUAAUUCAAAAUUAGUUCCGAAUUGAUUUUACUAUUCAUAUUAGACCGCGAGGGACCAUUAAAGGGACGGCAUCUUAAAAUUAUGAUGAGUCUGAAUGUUUAUAUUUAAUUAAUGUCUGUAUUGUACUGUACUGACUGGUAAUGUCUCUUAACCCUGUUCCGGCAACGGUAUGAGGUUAGGGGACGUUACAUGUUUUCCUUCCAUUUAGAUAUAAAAACCAUCGAGACCAGUCCCCGUAGUCUUAAAUUAAUUCCAGUAGUUUUCAUCUCCUUUACUAUGUAAUAAAAUUUGUUGGAGUACUUGAAUUGUUUUAAAAUUUUCAUGUUCAAUUAUGCAUUGUGAUAGCCUCUCUUUUUCAAGACAUUUAUGUGCAUGAAAAAAAUUCUUAUGAUAUAAUUAUUUCGUAAGGUUAACUGUGAUUAGAGAUGAACAAAAGUUGGUUCAAACUGAUUUAAUCAAUGGCCUGCUUCAACCAUCUCAAUUAUGAUGGAUAAGGUGGUUUUUGCAAUGGUUAAAAUAGGUUACAUCGGCAUAUUAUCUCAAUUGGAGAGUUUAAUUACUCAAUCUUCUAUUUUUGUUCAAAUAAAUUAAAAAAAGUUCAAAACUCUGUUUACCAAACGCCUUAUAAUUUAAUUCAUAAAAUUUAUUAUAUUCAAUAUACAAUUAAAUAAAAUUAAAUAAAAUCAUAGAAAUCAAGGCUGGAAUUACAAUCAUACUAAAAUUAAAUAAAAUAAAAAUAAAAAGAACAAAAGAACCAUCCUAAUGCACAUUUGAUAACAUUAACUAAUCGUUUAAACUAAACUAUUAGGCCCUUCUAAUCGAAUGUAAUCAUACAUUACAGCUUCAAAAGGGUUGUCACUUCUUGUCUGAGUUAGAUAUAUUGUGUUGUUCCCUUUACGAAAUCUAUAUUCAGGUACUUCAAUGCUGUACAACCUGUACAAUCCGUGAAUCCCGUGCCUUGGUACGGCGUUG
RNAcentral lists this long non-coding RNA (3431 nucleotides) under Gossypium barbadense (sea-island cotton). RNAcentral describes it as "long non-coding RNA (GBAR_LNC001777)". The record is from RNAcentral. Lineage: Eukaryota; Viridiplantae; Streptophyta; Magnoliopsida; Malvales; Malvaceae.